RNAcentral lists this non-coding RNA (238 nucleotides) under Niallia circulans. RNAcentral describes it as "Bacillus circulans T-box sequence". It matches the Rfam family "T-box leader". Rfam says of the family: Uncharged tRNA acts as the effector for transcription antitermination of genes in the T-box leader family. T-boxes are found upstream of many aminoacyl-tRNA synthetase genes and some amino acid biosynthetic genes usually in Gram-positive bacteria. Lineage: Bacteria; Bacillati; Bacillota; Bacilli; Caryophanales; Bacillaceae. The record is from RNAcentral.
AUACAUGCUUUGAUUGGAAUGAGUAGUGCCUAUUUCCCUGUUCUUAGAGAGUCAAUGGCCGGUGCAAAUUGACACAAAAAUAGACGCGAAUUACCUCCAGGAGCAUUCUUUGUGAAAGAAUUUGAUUCGAUUAGCAAAGAACGGAUGAGCCGUUACCCAUAAUGAGUGGAAGAGUAUAAUUAAUUAUAUUCUUCAAUUAGGGUGGUACCACGUGCUUACAAGCAACCACGUCCCUUUU